RNAcentral lists this transfer RNA (73 nucleotides) under Bos taurus (domestic cattle). It matches the Rfam family "tRNA". Rfam says of the family: Transfer RNA (tRNA) molecules are approximately 80 nucleotides in length. Their secondary structure includes four short double-helical elements and three loops (D, anti-codon, and T loops). RNAcentral also lists the same sequence under 4 other names. Lineage: Eukaryota; Metazoa; Chordata; Mammalia; Artiodactyla; Bovidae. The record is from Rfam by way of RNAcentral.
UCUCUGGUGGUCCAGUGGCUAAAACUCUGUGUUCCAAAUGUAGGGGGCCCAGGUUCGAUCCCUGGUCAAGGAA